AGCCACCGGAGCGGCGCGGGUUCUCAGGGAGGCAAGAUGACUUCUUUGCCCCAACCUUGGAACAGCUAAAGGGAAAAACAGUGCAAGAUGAGAACAACAAAGGUCUACAAACUCGUCAUCCACAAGAAGGGCUUUGGGGGCAGUGGUCAGUAUCGAUUGGUGUUUCGAGGUUUUGUAAGUUGGCUGAGGUUCUGGUGUGUGCAGUGCCUUGAAAUUACACACUGACUCGUGUGACAAUUGAGGCUAAACAGGCGACUAAACAGACUAAAGUAGCAACUAUCAUACAGUAACAAGGAGUAUGGCAGGACCCUUCUAAUGCAUUUGCAUUCAGACUUUUAAGGAACAUUGUGAAUGCUGCCGGUUUACUACCUUUCAUUUGUUGAAUUGCAUUGUUUAUUACAAAUCUUCCGAGUAUGUUCCAUAAAAUUCCAGCCUCCACUGGUUUGGCAGAUAAGAGAAACUAAAAUCAUAUAUCAGUUUUUACAUUGAGUGAGAGAGAAGCAGCAUAGAUGUGCAUAGAGCAGGUAUGAUCAAAGCAUAAACCUUUGCCUGGCUUCUAGGCAUGGGAAGAAGGAGCAGGAUACAACAUGUUAUUCUGCAUUGAACUAUAGUCUGAGUAUCUACUCUGCUUCUAAUUUUCCUGGUGACCUUGGACAAGCUCCUAGUGUACCUUAU
RNAcentral lists this small RNA (675 nucleotides) under Pongo abelii (Sumatran orangutan). RNAcentral describes it as "retained intron". The record is from RNAcentral. Lineage: Eukaryota; Metazoa; Chordata; Mammalia; Primates; Hominidae.